RNAcentral lists this ribosomal RNA (922 nucleotides) under uncultured Bacillota bacterium. RNAcentral's name for it is "bacterial SSU rRNA". It matches the Rfam family "Bacterial small subunit ribosomal RNA", at positions 36 to 917 of the family's 1533-position model. Lineage: Bacteria; Bacillati; Bacillota. The record is from RNAcentral.
CUGGCGGCGUGCCUAAUACAUGCAAGUCGAGCGAGCUUGCCUAGAUGAUUUUAGUGCUUGCACUAAAUGAAACUAGAUACAAGCGAGCGGCGGACGGGUGAGUAACACGUGGGUAACCUGCCCAAGAGACUGGGAUAACACCUGGAAACAGAUGCUAAUACCGGAUAACAACACUAGACGCAUGUCUAGAGUUUGAAAGAUGGUUCUGCUAUCACUCUUGGAUGGACCUGCGGUGCAUUAGCUAGUUGGUAAGGUAACGGCUUACCAAGGCAAUGAUGCAUAGCCGAGUUGAGAGACUGAUCGGCCACAUUGGGACUGAGACACGGCCCAAACUCCUACGGGAGGCAGCAGUAGGGAAUCUUCCACAAUGGACGAAAGUCUGAUGGGGCAACGCCGCGUGAGUGAAGAAGGGUUUCGGCUCGUAAAGCUCUGUUGGUAGUGAAGAAAGAUAGAGGUAGUAACUGGCCUUUAUUUGACGGUAAUUACUUAGAAAGUCACGGCUAACUACGUGCCAGCAGCCGCGGUAAUACGUAGGUGGCAAGCGUUGUCCGGAUUUAUUGGGCGUAAAGCGAGUGCAGGCGGUUCAAUAAGUCUGAUGUGAAAGCCUUCGGCUCAACCGGAGAAUUGCAUCAGAAACUGUUGAACUUGAGUGCAGAAGAGGAGAGUGGAACUCCAUGUGUAGCGGUGGAAUGCGUAGAUAUAUGGAAGAACACCAGUGGCGAAGGCGGCUCUCUGGUCUGCAACUGACGCUGAGGCUCGAAAGCAUGGGUAGCGAACAGGAUUAGAUACCCUGGUAGUCCAUGCCGUAAACGAUGAGUGCUAAGUGUUGGGAGGUUUCCGCCUCUCAGUGCUGCAGCUAACGCAUUAAGCACUCCGCCUGGGGAGUACGACCGCAAGGUUGCAACUCAAAGGAAUUGACGGA